This 747-nucleotide ribosomal RNA is filed under the name Monothalamids sp. RNAcentral's name for it is "SSU rRNA". It matches the Rfam family "Eukaryotic small subunit ribosomal RNA", at positions 1160 to 1626 of the family's 1831-position model. The record is from RNAcentral. Lineage: Eukaryota; Foraminifera.
AAGGGCACCACAAGAACGCGUGGAGCAUGUGGCUUAAUUUGACUCAACGCGGGAAAUCUUACCGGGUCCGGACACACUGAGGAUUGACAGGUAAAAGAAGUUCACUCUCGACUUCCCUUUUUGGGUNGUUUGAGUUUGGCUCUGUAAAUAUGCUAGUCCUUUCAUGAUUGUGUGAUAGGUGGUGCAUGGCCGUUCUUAGUUCGUGGAAUAAUCUGUCUGCUUAAUUGCGUUAAUAUAUGGAGUCAGUCUCUGAUAACCCUCAAUUACUUGUGUUUCACAGUUAAUUCUGUGCACUUUGAUUGGGGCUGGAGAUUAGACACUCUAUGAAACGAACGUGACCCCGACCUCUUGUUACCAGAUAUAAAGUCNUUUGUGGAGCAGUUUUACGANUGUAUCUCCCAUUAACGACUCUGGAUACGAGGGGGAUUGCCAAGCUCAAGCUGGAUGAAAGUCGGGGCAAUAACAGGUCUGUGAUGCCCUUAGAUGUUCCGGGCUGCACACGUGCUACAAUGAUCUAUGCAGUAAGUAUCUACAAAAGACUCCAUGUCCUUUUAUAGGNUGCGAGCAAGCCUGAUUCGAGAGUAAGUAGGUAAUCAAUUNGAAGUAUAGAUUUCCUUUUAUANCCGAUUGCAUAUGCGUUGCUUUUUUGCACGCUAUGCUCAGNNUCUUAUUCUNAGAAUUCAUAGUGGGGACAGACCUUUGUUAAUUGUUGGUCUCGGUUCAACUAGGAAUGCCUUGUACGGGUCU